GUGGGGAAUAUUGGACAAUGGGCGCAAGCCUGAUCCAGCCAUGCCGCGUGAGUGAUGAAGGCCCUAGGGUUAUAAAGCUCUUUCAGUGGGGACGAUAAUUACGGUACUCACAGAAGAAGCCCCGGCUAACUUCGUGCCAGCAGCCGCGGUAAUACGAAGGGGGCUAGCGUUGUUCGGAUUUACUGGGCGUAAAGCGCACGUAGGCGGAUCGUUAAGUCGAGGGUGAAAUCCUGGAGCUCAACUCCAGAACUGCCUUCGAUACUGGCGAUCUUGAGUCCGGAAGAGGUGAGUGGAACUCCUAGUGUAGAGGUGGAAUUCGUAGAUAUUAGGAAGAACACCAGUGGCGAAGGCGGCUCACUGGUCCGGUACUGACGCUGAGGUGCGAAAGCGUGGGGAGCAAACAGGAUUAGAUACCCUUGUAGUC
RNAcentral lists this ribosomal RNA (424 nucleotides) under uncultured bacterium. Its description in RNAcentral is "partial 16S ribosomal RNA". It matches the Rfam family "Bacterial small subunit ribosomal RNA", at positions 354 to 795 of the family's 1533-position model. The record is from RNAcentral.